This 390-nucleotide ribosomal RNA is filed under the name Streptomyces diastatochromogenes. RNAcentral describes it as "bacterial SSU rRNA". It matches the Rfam family "Bacterial small subunit ribosomal RNA", at positions 968 to 1352 of the family's 1533-position model. Lineage: Bacteria; Bacillati; Actinomycetota; Actinomycetes; Kitasatosporales; Streptomycetaceae. The record is from RNAcentral.
ACCUUACCAAGGCUUGACAUACACCGGAAACGGCCAGAGAUGGUCGCCCCCUUGUGGUCGGUGUACAGGUGGUGCAUGGCUGUCGUCAGCUCGUGUCGUGAGAUGUUGGGUUAAGUCCCGCAACGAGCGCAACCCUUGUUCUGUGUUGCCAGCAUGCCCUUCGGGGUGAUGGGGACUCACAGGAGACUGCCGGGGUCAACUCGGAGGAAGGUGGGGACGACGUCAAGUCAUCAUGCCCCUUAUGUCUUGGGCUGCACACGUGCUACAAUGGCAGGUACAAUGAGCUGCGAAGCCGUGAGGCGGAGCGAAUCUCAAAAAGCCUGUCUCGGUUCGGAUUGGGGUCUGCAACUCGACCCCAUGAAGUCGGAGUUGCUAGUAAUCGCAGAUCAG